CCUACGGGCGGCAGCAGUGAGGAAUAUUGGUCAAUGGACGCGAGCCUGAACCAGCCAAGUCGCGUGAGGGAUGACUGCCCUAUGGGUUGUAAACCUCUUUUAUAAAGGAACAAAACGAGCCACGCGUGCCUUUUUGCAUGUACCCUAUGAAUAAGCAUCGGCUAACUCCGUGCCAGCAGCCGCGGUAAUACGGAGGAUCCGAGCGUUAUCCGGAUUUAUUGGGUUUAAAGGGAGCGUAGAUGGGUUGUUAAGUCAGUUGUGAAAGUUUGCGGCUCAACCGUAAAAGUGCAAUUGAAACUGGCAGUCUUGAGUACAGGUGAAGUAGGCGGAAUGCGUGGUGUAGCGGUGAAAUGCUUAGAUAUCACGAAGAACCCCGAUUGCGAAGGCAGCUUAC
Molecule: ribosomal RNA, 394 nt
Filed under: uncultured bacterium
Lineage: Bacteria
Description: partial 16S ribosomal RNA
Rfam family: Bacterial small subunit ribosomal RNA
Source: RNAcentral